RNAcentral lists this non-coding RNA (161 nucleotides) under bovine gut metagenome. The record is from RNAcentral.
GGUGCUUCCGGAUCAAAACGGAAGGUAAAAGGGAAACAGGUGAAAGACCUGUGCGAUCUCGUCACUGUAAGGGAAGAGCCCUCGGCCAUUAUGCCACUAGAGUCAUUCGGGAAGGCGGCCGUGAGGCGAUGACGCCCGAGCCAGGAAACCUGCCGGUGUUU